UACGUAGGUGGCAAGCGUUGUCCGGAAUUAUUGGGCGUAAAGCGCGCGCAGGCGGUCCUUUAAGUCUGAUGUGAAAGCCCACGGCUCAACCGUGGAGGGUCAUUGGAAACUGGGGGACUUGAGUGCAGGAGAGAAGAGUGGAAUUCCACGUGUAGCGGUGAAAUGCGUAGAGAUGUGGAGGAACACCAGUGGCGAAGGCGGCUUCCUGGACCGACACUGACGCUGAGGCGCGAAAGCUAGGGGAGCAAACGGG
Molecule: ribosomal RNA, 253 nt
Filed under: uncultured bacterium
Lineage: Bacteria
Description: partial 16S ribosomal RNA
Rfam family: Bacterial small subunit ribosomal RNA
Source: RNAcentral